This is a long non-coding RNA of Oncorhynchus keta (chum salmon), 571 nucleotides long. RefSeq lists it as uncharacterized. The record is from RefSeq and is a predicted model, not a curated record. NCBI's taxonomy places the organism in Eukaryota, Metazoa, Chordata, Actinopteri, Salmoniformes, Salmonidae. The transcript is spliced from 3 exons.
GAGUGUAGAGGUGGCAGGGUAGCCUAGUGGUUAGAGUGUAGAGGUGGCAGGUAGCCUAGUGGUUAGAGUGUAGAGGUGGCAGGUAACCUAGUGGUUAGAGUGUAGAGGAGGCAGGUAGCCUAGUGGUUAGUGUAGAGGUGGCAGGUAGCCUAGUGGUUAGAGUGUAGAGGUGGCAGGUAGCCUAGUGGUUAGAGUGUAGAGGUGGCAGGUAGCCUAGUGGUUAGAGUGUAGAGGUGGCAGGUAGCCUAGUGGUUAGAGUGUAGAGGUGGCAGGUAGCCUAGUGGUUAGAGUGUAGAGGUGGCAGGUAGCCUAGUGGUUAGAGUGUAGAGGUGGCAGGUAGCCCAGUGGUUAGAGUGUAGAGGUGGCAGGGUAGCCUAAUGGUUAGAGUGUAGAGGAGGCAGGUAGCCUAGUGGUUAGAGUGUAGAGGUGGCAGGUAGCCUAGUGGUUAGAGUGUAGAGGUGGCAGGUAGCCUAGUGGUUAGAGUGUAGAGGUGGCAGGGUAGCCUAGUGGUUAGAGUGUAGAGGUGGCAGGUAGCCUAGUGGUUAGAGUGUAGAGGUGGCAGGGUAGCCUA